RNAcentral lists this transfer RNA (62 nucleotides) under Ligularia sibirica. RNAcentral describes it as "partial tRNA-Leu". The record is from RNAcentral. Lineage: Eukaryota; Viridiplantae; Streptophyta; Magnoliopsida; Asterales; Asteraceae.
AAAUCGUGAGGGUUCAAGGCCCUCUAUUCCCAAAAAGACCAUUUGACUCCCUAAUUAUUUAU